GACGAACGCUGGCGGCGUGCUUAACACAUGCAAGUCGAACGGAAAGGCCCUGCUUUUGUGGGGUGCUCGAGUGGCGAACGGGUGAGUAACACGUGAGUAACCUGCCCUUGACUUUGGGAUAACUUCAGGAAACUGGGGCUAAUACCGGAUAGGAGCUCCUGCCGCAUGGUGGGGGUUGGAAAGGUUCGGAGGUUGGGGAUGGACUCGCGGCUUAUCAGCUUGUUGGUGGGGUAGUGGCUUACCAAGGCUUUGACGGGUAGCCGGCCUGAGAGGGUGACCGGCCACAUUGGGACUGAGAUACGGCCCAGACUCCGACGGGAGGCAGCAGUGGGGAAUGUGGCACAAUGGGCGGAAGCCUGAUGCAGCAACGCGGCGUGCGGGAUGACGGCAUUCGGGUUGUAAACCGCUUUCGUCUGUGACGAAGCGUGAGUGACGGUAAUGGGUAAAGAAGCACCGGCUAACUACGUG
Molecule: ribosomal RNA, 468 nt
Filed under: uncultured bacterium
Lineage: Bacteria
Description: partial 16S ribosomal RNA
Rfam family: Bacterial small subunit ribosomal RNA
Source: RNAcentral